CAGUUGGCAUAGUGAUGGUGUUCCCUGAGGAGAGAAAGUGCAGAGCGGUGUUGCUGACAGCCAGGUCUCUCCAUCUCCCAGCCAUCCUGGGAAGCUCUGUAUUUGCCAAGUCACAAUGCUGCAACCGUUCCCACCCCGCAGCUCAUCCCUCGAGCUCUAAGUGAGCCUGAGCCUGAACUCCAGGAUCCUGGGUUAGCUGAUGCCUGCUGGACAUCACUUCCUCAAUUUUCAGCAUAUCCUGCUUUGUCUCUGAUUGCUGCUCUGGCAAACCUGAUCUUGUCCAAAUGUUAACUGUUGCUUCUCUGGUUUGCUACUUUCACAGUUUCUCUUGCUGCUUAACUAAUCUCUAGUCCCGUUUUCCUCAAAUCAGACUUUAACAGGGAGGAGCUGGCUUGUUCCAGUCCAAGGACUGAGGUGUGUUACUGUACUUCACUGGGGUGGUAAAGAGUUGCAGUGUGCUAAAAGCUUGUAUGUGUGCAGUUUUCCCCUAUCCAGGCUCUUGUAAAUACAGUACAAUUGCCAAGGACAGGCAGGAAGUGAAGGAAGAUCCCAUGCGUGAUUAAAACUGCAACGGGGGGGUGUAAUUUAUAGAAACAGGAUGGACUUUGGCCAGGAGACUGCAACAUCCCUCACUGUAACGAGCCUACAUAUUACAAUGAGUGCACUUAGAAAGACAGAUGGACAGAUGUUCAAUGGGGCUAAUUCUCAUCAUCACUAGCCAGUGGACUCUGAGAGAAAAUACCAGUUCUGCAGCAUUCCCUUGGGUCUCAAAAAUUACAUGAUGCCCCUAGUAUAAAUAAAGAUCCCUCAUCUAUCUUCCACUCUGAUUCACAGGGCCAGCAUAACUGGCUAGUGCUCGUGUCCCCUAGGAUCACACUGACAUCAAGGACUCGACCUCAAUGUAUCUAUUAACUUUUUUUUCUUCUUUGCUUGCUGUUUCCAGAAUCAACCCACAAUCUCCAGUAUCAACAUGCAGCACAGACAAGGUUGGAGGCAAGAAUUUCUUACCAGGUGCAGAACUGCAAAGUUUUGGAGUAAGGCAUAAUGAAGGGAGAUGACACCUUGGUGCACUCUCCUCCUUUGCCAAUGUUCAGUCCCUGCACCCCAUGGAAGAGUACAAGCCUCAGUGGAUGUGAUCCCCACCAAAUCUCAAUGCUGAUUAGAGCAGAUAUAAAUAACGAGUGUGAGAAACAGCUCGACCUGUCUGAUGAUGUCAUCAUGUGACACUGCCUGUACUUCAUUCCUCAUCCUGGGAAGGCACCCCUGAACUUUGUGGCUUCAUAUGAAGUUUGCAAGAUCAACUGAAACACAGGACCUGGGUACCUCAUCAGACAUUCAUCUGCUGAGAUCUGUGCAGCACACUAUGGCAGGCACUGGCUUGGGUGGCCUGGAAGAUCUAACCAAGAAGUCCAAGUCCCAUCAAUGCCACAUGAGCAAAAGUUUGCUCUGUGGCCACUCUGACAUUAUCAAGACACUGCAAAUGCAUUUUAACUGUGGAUUUUGUUAGGUUUUUCUCAUAGUUAGGAAUUGGUGGCAAUUGCUCUCAGGUAUCCAUCCAAAUGUCUAUGAAUGAUUUGCUGUGGUUUGGUUCCCCUUGGCUGUGGUUACUGUGUCAGCAGGGAAAAGGAGCAGGCAUGGAUGGGCCCUUGGAUAACAUUAGAUAAGGCACAGAGUGAUCUUUGCUGCUCUACCGACCCAAAGGUGCAGAGAAAAAAAAACGUGGGCAGGGUGAGUGGGGACGGAGCUGGGCACAGGACAUGGAGAGAAAGCAAAGAAGUGUUACCUGCUGCAUCCUGCACUAAGGGAACGUCACUUUUUACUGGAGUUGGAGUGGCAAUGAUGGGCGAAAACCCAGCGGUGCUGGCGGCAGGCAUGACAAUGCCUCUGCUGGCUCCCAGAGUGGCACUGAGCAAGGAGUAUGAGAGACAAGAUGGAGAGAAGA
This is a long non-coding RNA of Corvus hawaiiensis (hawaiian crow), 1942 nucleotides long. RefSeq lists it as uncharacterized. The record is from RefSeq and is a predicted model, not a curated record. The transcript is spliced from 3 exons. NCBI's taxonomy places the organism in Eukaryota, Metazoa, Chordata, Aves, Passeriformes, Corvidae.